GGGGACCCGAGAGGCUGCUUCACGCCUUGGUCCCUGCCGUGCCGCUGUGGGACAGGGCUCAAAGCCCCAUGCGGCUCCUCCGGGUGCUGCCAGCCCCCGUCCCUGUGGGUUUGAGCACCCGGAGUCCCCACCGCCACCACCCCAAACAUCUCAGCCCUCCCUGAGCACAGCCCCCCCUUGCCCUAUGCAGCCCCCUGCCCACCCUUGCCGCCCGCCGGCACCGCGGCCACGUGCUCGCAGGCAGCGGCAGGAGGCGGAUCGCUGCGGAAAGGAGCCAUUAGGAACAGCAAAGAAAAAAAACCCGGCUGGGGGAGCCUCUGCGGCAGGACCUGCCCUGCUGGGAAGCUCGGCGGCGGCGGCGGUGCUCUGCGGUGAAGCCCACGCUUGGCGGCACGGCCGGACCCCAAGGCGCAUCCAUCGCGGAGCGUCGCCGCGCCGGAGCUGCCCGCACCCCACAAACCCAACCUCACCGCUGCCGGCGGCCCCGUUUCGGGUGCUGGUUUAAGGCAGAUCUCCCGCAGAAGCUCUUCCCACAGCCCUGGCUGCGUGCUCCCUGCUGGCACGGCACACGGUGGCCGGGCACGGUGGGAUCAGGCUCUGCUUGGAGCCGCAGGCUCGCUCCCUGUGCCCAAAGGUGCCCCCACGGGUGCUAAAUCCCAACUGGGGCUGCCCCGGGUACGGCUUGGCCCCGGCCUGGGCUCGUCGCUGGCACCAGGGGCGCGGGGUGGCUCCGGGCACGGGUUCUUCCCCCCCGCGGCACGGGCGCCUCUGCACGGAUGUCUGGAGAGAGCGUGGGACUCAGUAGGUAAAAACCAAGUCCGAGAUGCUGGACAUGAGCCAGUCCCCCGCGAUCAUCUCCGUCACCUCGGGCGUGCAAUAGUCCGGGAACUCGAAGUGCGAGGAGCUUCCCCGCGGGAACAGGUCCAGGUCCUUGUCGAAGCCGCACCAGUCCACGGUACCGCACGCCGUGCUGGUGGUGGUGGCAGGGGGGGGGGGCCCGGCCGGCCACGACGCCCCCCGGCAGCUCUUCCUCCAGCUCCUCGUCGGAGGAGCUGAAGGAGGAGGGCGGCGAGCUGGCCGGCAUGGGCGAGGGCAUCCCGCUCUCCGGAGACGUCCCCGGUUCAGCACCGGUGGUGACGGUGACAUCGGUGACAGCGGCGGGGCUGGGGGGCGCGGGGGGCUCCGUGGGGCUGCGCUCACCGGUGGGCACCGCGGCCGUGCCGGGAGAGUCCUCGGUGGCCACCUCGCCGUCGGGCUCCUGCGUUUGGGGACCGGCGGGGGUUUUGGCGUGCUGCCUCCGGCCAGUGGGGACACGACCGAGCACCGAGGGCUUGAUCUUGACCGGGAGGCGCGGACGAGCGGUGGCGGUGGCGGCGUUGGUGGCGUUGGUGGCACCCACCUUG
RNAcentral lists this long non-coding RNA (1403 nucleotides) under Anas platyrhynchos platyrhynchos (common mallard). RNAcentral's name for it is "lncRNA (ENSAPLG00000021723.1)". Lineage: Eukaryota; Metazoa; Chordata; Aves; Anseriformes; Anatidae. The record is from RNAcentral.